CAAUCGGCCCUUUUCAGGGCCAACACAUGUGUAAUAAGAAUUAAUU
Non-coding RNA from Aedes aegypti (yellow fever mosquito), 46 nucleotides. NCBI's taxonomy places the organism in Eukaryota, Metazoa, Arthropoda, Insecta, Diptera, Culicidae. The record is from Rfam.